AGGGUGCCAGUACAGAGUGGAUGUGCAGGGGUAUGAGGUAGUAACAUUGCUAUAUGAACAGGGUAUCAGUACAGAGUGGAUGUGCAGGGGUAUGAGGUAGUAACAUGGCUAUAUAAACAGGGUACCAGUACAGAGUGGAUGUGCAGGGGUAUGAGGUAGUAACAUGGCUAUAUAAACAGGGUAACAGUACAGAGUGAAUGUGCAGGGGUAUGAGGUAGUAACAUGGCUAUAUAAACAGGGUACCAGUAGAGAGUGGAUGUGCAGGGGUAUGAGGCAGUAACAUGGCUAUAUAAACAGGGUACCAGGACAGAGUGGAUGUGCAGGGGUAUGAGGUAGUAACAUGGCUAUAUAAACAGGGUACCAGUAGAGAGUGGAUGUGCAGGGG
Oncorhynchus tshawytscha (Chinook salmon) is the source of this 385-nucleotide long non-coding RNA. The record is from Ensembl. NCBI's taxonomy places the organism in Eukaryota, Metazoa, Chordata, Actinopteri, Salmoniformes, Salmonidae.